GAGUGUAAGUCUCUAUAAAUUCUUUUAAUUCAAAGAAACUCCAAGUUCUACUGAAUACAUUAGAAAAAUCUUUGUAGACAUAAUAUAUGUAACAAGUUAUUCAUAAAUGAUAACUUAUAGUAGAAAACCACAGCAUUCCCAAUUAAGAAUUAUAUAUACUAUCCUGAUUAUCUGGUGAUAAAAACAAAAUGACUAUAUUAUAAAUGCUCAAAUAAUUAAGGAUCUCUAAGAUUCAGAUAAAUAGCAUAAUGCACACUUAGUAGAUAUCUGUUACCAUUUCACUGUAUAGAGUAUAUAUAUGCAAUGAAGAGGGGUACAUUAAAAACCAGUUUUACAAAAUUAUUAAACUUUUAAAGCUGAUACUUGGAGGUACACUAUUCCUAUAUAUUGGUUGAUAUGAAAUAAACUGUUAAAUUUAUCGUACUGAUUGAGAGAUAUAGACAUAAAAAUGGUUUAUCACAUUAAGACAGACCACGUCAUAAAUGUCUACAUAUGACCAUUAUAAAUUAUUCUAAUUAGCUCCCCCAUCAUGGUCUCUGUUACUUGAACUAAUGUAUUUCAUUCUUCUUUGAUUCAGGACUUUCUAUAAUGUUUUGUAUAGUAUGCUUUGUACUCACUGCACUUCAUAAAUCUGUAUAUUCAUUCACUG
RNAcentral lists this long non-coding RNA (649 nucleotides) under Bos taurus (domestic cattle). RNAcentral's name for it is "long non-coding RNA NONBTAT024452". Lineage: Eukaryota; Metazoa; Chordata; Mammalia; Artiodactyla; Bovidae. The record is from RNAcentral.